This 1200-nucleotide long non-coding RNA is filed under the name Lonchura striata (white-rumped munia). RNAcentral's name for it is "domestica (Bengalese finch) lncRNA (ENSLSDG00000003567.1)". The record is from RNAcentral. Lineage: Eukaryota; Metazoa; Chordata; Aves; Passeriformes; Estrildidae.
GGAGCAGAACUGAUCCCAGGGAGAGCCCCGGGAGCGCUCGUGCAUUUUGGGACCAUUUUGGGUCAUUUGGGUUCAUUUUGGGACCAUUUUGGUUCAUCUUGGGUUCAUUUUGGGACCAUUUUGGGUCAUUUGGGUUCAUUUUGGGACCAUUUUGGGUCAUCUUGGGUUCAUUUUGGGACCAUUUUGGUUCAUCUUGGGUUCAUUUUGGGGCCAUUUGGGUUCAUUUUGGUUCAUUUGGGUUCAUUUUCGGACCAUUUUGGUUCAUUUGGGUUCAUUUUGGGACCAUUUUGGGUCAUCUUGGGUUCAUUUUGGGACCAUUUUGGUUCAUCUUGGGUUCAUUUUGGGACCAUUUUGGGUCAUUUGGGUUCAUUUUGGGACCAUUUUGGUUCAUUUGGGUUCAUUUUGGGACCAUUUUGGGUCAUCUUGGCUUCAUUUUGGGACCAUUUUGGUUCAUUUGGGUUCAUUUUGGGACCAUUUUGGUUCAUUUGGGUUCAUUUUGGGGCCAUUUUGGUUCAUCUUGUGUUCAUUUUGGGACCAUUUUGGUUCAUUUGGGUGCAGCCCUGGCUGGGCUCUGGUGCUGCCCAAGGUGGAUCCAUGGAGGAGAUCCUUUCAUAAAUCCCUGAUUUAUUCCUUAGUUCUGCUCAGCCUCUGCUCCAGCUCAGCCUCCACAAGGCAUCAACCCCAGUGCUGGAUCAUGGAAUGGUGGAAUUCUGGUGGGAGCCUCUCCAGUGCCACCCCUGCCAUGGCAGGGACACCUCCCACUGUCCCAGCCGGGCCUUGGACACUUCCAGGGAUCCAGGGACAUCUGACAGAGAAUCCCUUGGAAUUGGUGGGAGCAGGGAGGAGAAAUCCUUCAAAGGAGAAAACAGCAAACCCCUAACCCAGGCACUUCCAGUGGGGACAACGGGAAGGACAAGGAAGAGAAAAAUCUCCUCCCUCAGCAGUGGACUGGGUCCUCUGUUGGCCAUAAUCCCCCAAAAAUCAGGAAAACCAGGAAACUGCUAUUUCCACAUUGCCUCAACUCGCACCAAACAGGCCACGGGUGUUUUAUAGUUGGGAAAUGUGGAAUCUCAGCAGCUGGAGCUGGAAAAUCCCUGCGGAGUCACGUCCUGCCAGGACACCUCAUCCUGAGCCAGCAUCCCGUGGGAUCCCACAGCUCCUCCCAGAGCCGCACACGGAGCCCUUCCAGGACUGCUGAGG